CUGCCCAGACUCCUACGGGAGGCUGCAGUCGAGAAUCAUUCGCAAUGGGCGAAAGCCUGACGAUGCGACGCCGUGUGAGCGAAGAAGGCCUUCGGGUCGUAAAGCUCUUUCGCUUGGGAACAA
Molecule: ribosomal RNA, 123 nt
Filed under: uncultured Chlamydiales bacterium
Lineage: Bacteria; Pseudomonadati; Chlamydiota; Chlamydiia; Chlamydiales
Description: partial 16S ribosomal RNA
Rfam family: Bacterial small subunit ribosomal RNA
Source: RNAcentral